This is a long non-coding RNA of Folsomia candida, 536 nucleotides long. RefSeq lists it as uncharacterized. The record is from RefSeq and is a predicted model, not a curated record. The transcript is spliced from 2 exons. Lineage: Eukaryota; Metazoa; Arthropoda; Collembola; Entomobryomorpha; Isotomidae.
UUAUCCAUCAAUCUCUUACUUGAUUUCGUCAAUGUUCACAUAAUUGAAUUCCUUUCUACUCUAGCUACUCCUCAUCUCUUCAGACUGUCAACUACGGCUGUCAAGAGCUUUUGUGAAAUUUAAACACCUUUUCUGAAAUAUGGGAUUUUUACGAAUUUUUGCCUUCUGUGGAUUUGUUUUGUUUGCUUCUCAAAACCUGAAAGCAAGCUCCAUUCCUCUUGAAAUCAAGGAAAUCAAUUCCUGUUCUGAAUCAAAUGGGGAUCUCUGGUACAGUUUUAGUGACGGUUGCAAUCAGGCCUCCUGCCCCUGUGGAGCCGAGACGACGAAUUUAUGCUACAUUACGGAAAUGUAUUGUCCCGGCCACUGUCCUGGAGCGCUGUGGAUUAUUGAACAACAAAAAGCCGCUGAACGCUUAUGCUGUACUUAAAAAUUAAAUUGAUUUACAAACCUGCAUCACAACCGAUAAGAAAAUAAUAGUUUCAAUAACACUUGUUAUCGACAAUUCAAAUAAACCAUGUGUAUUAUAUAAAUUACAA